Molecule: long non-coding RNA, 522 nt
Organism: Anas platyrhynchos (mallard)
Lineage: Eukaryota; Metazoa; Chordata; Aves; Anseriformes; Anatidae
Source: RefSeq, a predicted model, not a curated record
CACUACUCUGUGAGACAUAUCAUUGCAGUAGGCAAGUGUGAGGAGACAGGUGCUAAAGAAUCUCACAGUCACUGCAGGAUACUUAACAGGCUUAUUUGCAAUCUGCAGAGUAUGGAGCUAAAACAGAAGGUGAAAGAAAUCCAUAUGGGAGCCUUGGUGUUGUAGGGAGUUACAGACUAGACAAGCAGUAUCAGAGAAAGGCCCAAUUCUUUGAAUCCCAACAGAAUGAGAAUCUACAGCUUUCACCAUAUCAACAGAACAAAACAGGAGUGGGAGACAGCUAUGCCCAGCUGUCUGCUCUGUACACAUCCUACCACCAAGCACCACACACAGAUAUUGGCAGGGACCUGCAAAGAGAUCAUAAACUGAUUCCAGAUACAACUCUAAGAUGUCUCUAUUCAUGCUCCAGAGCUUCCCAGAAAUCUACACACUUCUCAGUGGUUUCUAACCAUUACUAAUUAUCCCAUAAGUAUCUAAUAGUCCUUUCCCAACUGUUCAGUAAGUUUGUGUCAUGAUACGGAU